Molecule: ribosomal RNA, 267 nt
Filed under: uncultured bacterium
Lineage: Bacteria
Description: partial 16S ribosomal RNA
Rfam family: Bacterial small subunit ribosomal RNA
Source: RNAcentral
CGACUUAGCGGCGGACGGGUGAGUAACGCGUGGGUAACCUGCCUUACACUGGGGGAUAACAGUUAGAAAUGACUGCUAAUACCGCAUAAGCGCACAGGGUCGCAUGGUCUGGUGUGAAAAACUCCGGUGGUGUAAGAUGGACCCGCGUCUGAUUAGGUAGUUGGUGGGGUAACGGCCCACCAAGGCGACGAUCCAUAGCCGGCCUGAGAGGGUGAACGGCCACAUUGGGACUGAGACACGGCCCAGACUCCUACGGGAGGCAGCAUG